UAGGGGUUGUAUGUGUGACGUUUCAUCUCUCACGCUUAGACUCUCUUCUCACCUUCGUUCUCCAACGGUGACGAAGAAAUUCACUUCUCUCCCCGAUUGGAAAAUCAAACUCCACCGUGAAUACUGUCCGAUCACCACCACGACUAACCCUAUCGUCUCAACCUCUCCUCUUCUAAUUCUACAAAGAUCUCUCUGAAUCUACCAAAUUCAAAACCCUAUUUCUCCGCCGCCACCCAUUCCUUCACCACUUUCCGACCACCACGACUCCCAGCAUCAUUUCGUUUCUUUGAUAAAACGAUUAGGUCGUCUUCUCCUUUCUUUUCCUUCUCUGUGUCGAAAUGGAGCUGUUUGAAACGGAACCACCGUGCCGGUUUCUCUCAGGCCACCGCGAGCUUCAUCUCCUCCAAGGGAAGGAUCUUGUCAAUUAGAGAAAUAAGGGAAAUAUUUGUGAUAGUCUCUUACAAAAACUUGUCAAUUUAACAGGGUCAGCCCCUCUGAAUUUGUUAUUCCGUUGGCUAAGUAUAAGAGUCGGAGAAAUUCAUUCACCAUUUACAAUAUAUAGCCUUGUUGCAUCCUUCUGUGUUAUUGACUUGGUUGUACAUAAAUUUAUUAAAAAAGAAUUGGGUACCUUAUCACAACCUCUAAGGAGUGACAAGAGUUGGAUUUCUUCUACUAACAUAUAAUAUAUAGAUCCCUUUAUGUGUCUUUGGAUGGAUAUCUAGUAUCUACUAUGAAGGUUUGCCCGUUCUUUGUAUAAAUCUUUGGUCUAUUUUGGGUCUUGUCUAGUCUAGAAGUACUUUUAAAGGUGCACACACAUACAUUCUGCUAUAGCCAAACCCCAAAUGCACCAAUAUGUACAUAAGUUGUAAUACACUCUAAAUUUAUGUAGCCUUACACUUUCCAAAACUUAAAAAAUAAACCUUUAAUAAUUGCUCUCUUUGUGGAGGCGUGGAAGUCGAGAUUGAGAGGUGCGCGGCGGAGUUUAACAUGCUGUGGUUUCAAGUUGAAAAUCACACUAUUUCAUAAUAUUUCGUAAUAAAUAGCGUAACAUGAAAGAAUAGUGAUUCAUUCAAAUUCCACUGAGCAAUAGCACUAUAGCCACUAUUUAACUGUGGAGGUGCUGCUCACCUCUUAGAUCGGCCUGUGAAGGUAUAUGUUUUUUCUGGAAUCCUUAAAGCCUUUGUGUGGCUGCUGUACAUGUGUGCAAACACAGUAUGUUUAAAGCAUGACAAUUCGUGGGCAUUUAGACAUAUUUAUCGGGGUAAUGUCACUCUUAGAAUCAUCUUUCAAUGAUUUGACCAAGUUUUUAUGAAUUUUUUAUGAUGUUUGAGUGCUGAAAUUGAUAGCACGUUGACCACAGGACAACCAAAGAGACAUUUAUUUACUACUGGUUGGAGUGUAUUUAUCAGCACAAAAAGACUUUUCGCCGGAGAUUCUGUUCUUUUUAUCAGUUUCUCAAGGGAAUUCUCAGAGUUCUAGGAUUCAAGCAUUUAGUACAAACUGAAAUUGUGUUGAUGAUAGAGAUGUAUGAUGAUGUGUCGGUAAAUUACUUUUUUUAAAAAGCAGACAUGUGUGCGGAUGCUUCGACAAACUGAAAUAGUGUUGAUGAUUUAUUGAGUAAAGUUGUGUUUUAACUUACAAGCUGUGUUAAUUUACCGGUUGUGUCGGUGUUUGUUGUUUUGAUUUUUCUGAAUGAAUUUUGUAGGCUGAAUUUGAAUGAAGUUUUGAAUGAGGUUAAUGGUAGUUAUAAAAAACUUGCCAAGAUUAAGGAAGAACAAGUGCUUAUAGCCGAGGCUGCUGAUAUUAAUGAAGCUUUCUCAGUAGGCUACUUAGUGUUGGAUUGGUCGGCGGCCUCGUCUUGUUCCUUAAAGGGGUGGACUUGAAUGAUUACUGCUCUUGGUGCCACUAUCUAACUUGUGCCCCUCCAAGCUGUAAACCUGGCUAUAUUUCUUGUGAGGAUAACCAGAUUGGAAACCAACUUAACGUGGCAUGCAAGAACAAUGGGAGAAAUGGCAUUUUUCCUCUGUCAAACGGUAACCCUUACGAGCAGGCUGAAGAGCUAUGUUAUCGCCUUUGCGGUAAAUAGCCAGACAUGCAAAUACAACAUCUCUUAGGGUGAUACCAUUCAAUAAAGUUACAUAUAUGAUGUGUUCUUACUGCUACUUCUGAGAAAAAGAAUGAAUCAGUAUGGUUGUUCCCAUAGUUGUUGUCUCUACUAUCAUUAGUACAUUAUUUAUAGCUGAUAUUAGAAUCUUGUAGUUAAGAAAUUACUCUGCAGGAUAAGUAUUUAAUAAGUUUGUGUUAUGAAUGUUACUGAAUCUUGUCAUAUUAAAUAUUUCACCAUUUGGAUAUGUCUUGAGUCAUUAUGUCAUGCUCAAAGGGCUUAACACAACACUGCAUGUCAAAAAUUAGGUCACAUUAGUUCAUAUUCCCUCUGUUAUGAUAGCGAGAAAAAUGCAUUUUGUUUUUACUUGAUUAAUUUUUGUUUUUUUGGUCUUUGAUG
Vicia villosa (hairy vetch) is the source of this 2503-nucleotide RNA transcript. RefSeq lists it as uncharacterized. The transcript has 5 exons. The record is from RefSeq and is a predicted model, not a curated record. Lineage: Eukaryota; Viridiplantae; Streptophyta; Magnoliopsida; Fabales; Fabaceae.